GUUUUCAGUUGUACAUUAUGCACAAAUAGACAUUCCGUUACAGUUCAGAGUGUGUAAAGGUACUCGAGCGCCAGGCCGGUGAGGGCCACGCAAAGCGGCAACUCAGAGUCAUAGAUGCACAGGUGUGGGUGGAUUUGCGACUCUGGUCGGACGUGCACAGUGUGGAUCUCUCCACCAGCACAGAACAAAACCAAAGCCGACUUUUGAAGUUUCAUUAAUGAUCCUUCCGCAGGUUCACCUACGGAAA
RNAcentral lists this unclassified non-coding RNA (247 nucleotides) under uncultured fungus. RNAcentral's name for it is "sequence contains ITS1". The record is from RNAcentral. Lineage: Eukaryota; Fungi.